Molecule: long non-coding RNA, 364 nt
Organism: Herpailurus yagouaroundi (jaguarundi)
Lineage: Eukaryota; Metazoa; Chordata; Mammalia; Carnivora; Felidae
Exons: 3
Source: RefSeq, a predicted model, not a curated record
UCCCAGUCCCGCCACUGACUACAGGCGAGCUGAGCACAGGUGUCCAACUGCCCGGAGGCCCAGCUCCCUCAUCAUAAAACCGUGUCAGAAGAGGACCUGUCUCGUAGGUUUGAGCGAUCUCUACACCCAGCGUGGGGCUCGCACUCACAACCCUGAGAUGCAGGGGUGCAGUCUCCACCAGCUGAGCCAGCCGGGCGCCCCCUUACGCUGCUCUCCGCGGAGUCCUAGACGUGGGGGUGCUGCGUCAAAGGAACACUGUUACAGUUACGAGCCCGUGGUGAGACGUCCCUCGUGGGGUAUUCGACCCAGCCAGGCCCUCUCUCCCAGCCCCGGCCUCCUCUGCCCUCUGCCAGCUGCUGUUGCC